This 465-nucleotide ribosomal RNA is filed under the name Lancefieldella rimae. RNAcentral describes it as "bacterial SSU rRNA". It matches the Rfam family "Bacterial small subunit ribosomal RNA", at positions 28 to 504 of the family's 1533-position model. Lineage: Bacteria; Bacillati; Actinomycetota; Coriobacteriia; Coriobacteriales; Atopobiaceae. The record is from RNAcentral.
GAUGAACGCUGGCGGCGCGCCUAACACAUGCAAGUCGAACGGUUAAAGCACCUUUUAGGUGUGUAUAAAGUGGCGAACGGCUGAGUAACACGUGGGCAACCUGCCCUCCUCUUGGGGAUAGCCUCGGGAAACCGAGGAUAAUACCCGAUACUUCAAUGUGGCCGCAUGACGACAUUGAGAAAGCUUUUGCGGAGAAGGAUGGGCCCGCGGCCUGUUAGCUUGUUGGUGGGGUAGAGGCCUACCAAGGCAAUGAUGGGUAGCUGGGUUGAGAGACCGACCAGCCAGAUUGGGACUGAGACACGGCCCAGACUCCUACGGGAGGCAGCAGUGGGGAAUCUUGCACAAUGGGCGAAAGCCUGAUGCAGCGACGCCGCGUGCGGGACGAAGGCCUUUCGGGUUGUAAACCGCUUUCAGCAGGGACGAGGCGAAAGUGACGGUACCUGCAGAAGAAGCCCCGCUAACUAC